GAAGCUGACCAGACAGUCGCCGCUUCGUCGUCGUCCUCCUUCGGGGGGAGACGGGCGGAGGGGAGGAAAGUCCGGGCUCCAUAGGGCAAGGUGCCAGGUAACGCCUGGGGGGUGUCACAGCCCACGACCAGUGCAACAGAGAGAAAACCGCCGAUGGCCCGCGCAAGCGGGAUCAGGUAAGGGUGAAAGGGUGCGGUAAGAGCGCACCGCGCGGCUGGUAACAGUCCGCGGCACGGUAAACUCCACCCGGAGCAAGGCCAAAUAGGGGUUCAUAAGGUACGGCCCGUACUGAACCCGGGUAGGCUGCUUGAGCCAGUGAGCGAUUGCUGGCCUAGAUGAAUGACUGUCCACGACAGAACCCGGCUUAUCGGUCAGUUUCACCU
RNAcentral lists this RNase P RNA (383 nucleotides) under Klebsiella pneumoniae. RNAcentral describes it as "RNase P RNA component class A". It matches the Rfam family "Bacterial RNase P class A". Rfam says of the family: Ribonuclease P (RNase P) is a ubiquitous endoribonuclease, found in archaea, bacteria and eukarya as well as chloroplasts and mitochondria. Its best characterised activity is the generation of mature 5'-ends of tRNAs by cleaving the 5'-leader elements of precursor-tRNAs. Cellular RNase Ps are ribonucleoproteins. The record is from RNAcentral. Lineage: Bacteria; Pseudomonadati; Pseudomonadota; Gammaproteobacteria; Enterobacterales; Enterobacteriaceae.